UUAAGCGACUAAGCGUACACGGUGGAUGCCCUGGCAGUCAGAGGCGAUGAAGGACGUGCUAAUCUGCGAUAAGCGUCGGUAAGGUGAUAUGAACCGUUAUAACCGGCGAUUUCCGAAUGGGGAAACCCAGUGUGAUUCGUCACACUAUCAUUAACUGAAUCCAUAGGUUAAUGAGGCGAACCGGGGGAACUGAAACAUCUAAGUACCCCGAGGAAAAGAAAUCAACCGAGAUUCCCCCAGUAGCGGCGAGCGAACGGGGAGCAGCCCAGAGCCUGAAUCAGUGUGUGUGUUAGUGGAAGCGUCUGGAAAGGCGCGCGAUACAGGGUGACAGCCCCGUACACAAAAAUGCACAUGCUGUGAGCUCGAUGAGUAGGGCGGGACACGUGGUAUCCUGUCUGAAUAUGGGGGGACCAUCCUCCAAGGCUAAAUACUCCUGACUGACCGAUAGUGAACCAAUACCGUGAGGGAAAGGCGAAAAGAACCCCGGCGAGGGGAGUGAAAAAGAACCUGAAACCGUGUACGUACAAGCAGUGGGAGCACGCUUAGGCGUGUGACUGCGUACCUUUUGUAUAAUGGGUCAGCGACUUAUAUUCUGUAGCAAGGUUAACCGAAUAGGGGAGCCGAAGGGAAACCGAGUCUUAACUGGGCGUUAAGUUGCAGGGUAUAGACCCGAAACCCGGUGAUCUAGCCAUGGGCAGGUUGAAGGUUGGGUAACACUAACUGGAGGACCGAACCGACUAAUGUUGAAAAAUUAGCGGAUGACUUGUGGCUGGGGGUGAAAGGCCAAUCAAACCGGGAGAUAGCUGGUUCUCCCCGAAAGCUAUUUAGGUAGCGCCUCGUGAAUUCAUCUCCGGGGGUAGAGCACUGUUUCGGCAAGGGGGUCAUCCCGACUUACCAACCCGAUGCAAACUGCGAAUACCGGAGAAUGUUAUCACGGGAGACACACGGCGGGUGCUAACGUCCGUCGUGAAGAGGGAAACAACCCAGACCGCCAGCUAAGGUCCCAAAGUCAUGGUUAAGUGGGAAACGAUGUGGGAAGGCCCAGACAGCCAGGAUGUUGGCUUAGAAGCAGCCAUCAUUUAAAGAAAGCGUAAUAGCUCACUGGUCGAGUCGGCCUGCGCGGAAGAUGUAACGGGGCUAAACCAUGCACCGAAGCUGCGGCAGCGACGCUGAUGCGUUGUUGGGUAGGGGAGCGUUCUGUAAGCCUGUGAAGGUGUACUGUGAGGUAUGCUGGAGGUAUCAGAAGUGCGAAUGCUGACAUAAGUAACGAUAAAGCGGGUGAAAAGCCCGCUCGCCGGAAGACCAAGGGUUCCUGUCCAACGUUAAUCGGGGCAGGGUGAGUCGACCCCUAAGGCGAGGCCGAAAGGCGUAGUCGAUGGGAAACAGGUUAAUAUUCCUGUACUUGGUGUUACUGCGAAGGGGGGACGGAGAAGGCUAUGUUGGCCGGGCGACGGUUGUCCCGGUUUAAGCGUGUAGGCUGGUUUUCCAGGCAAAUCCGGAAAAUCAAGGCUGAGGCGUGAUGACGAGGCACUACGGUGCUGAAGCAACAAAUGCCCUGCUUCCAGGAAAAGCCUCUAAGCAUCAGGUAACAUCAAAUCGUACCCCAAACCGACACAGGUGGUCAGGUAGAGAAUACCAAGGCGCUUGAGAGAACUCGGGUGAAGGAACUAGGCAAAAUGGUGCCGUAACUUCGGGAGAAGGCACGCUGAUAUGUAGGUGAAGCGACUUGCUCGUGGAGCUGAAAUCAGUCGAAGAUACCAGCUGGCUGCAACUGUUUAUUAAAAACACAGCACUGUGCAAACACGAAAGUGGACGUAUACGGUGUGACGCCUGCCCGGUGCCGGAAGGUUAAUUGAUGGGGUCAGCGCAAGCGAAGCUCUUGAUCGAAGCCCCGGUAAACGGCGGCCGUAACUAUAACGGUCCUAAGGUAGCGAAAUUCCUUGUCGGGUAAGUUCCGACCUGCACGAAUGGCGUAAUGAUGGCCAGGCUGUCUCCACCCGAGACUCAGUGAAAUUGAACUCGCUGUGAAGAUGCAGUGUACCCGCGGCAAGACGGAAAGACCCCGUGAACCUUUACUAUAGCUUGACACUGAACAUUGAGCCUUGAUGUGUAGGAUAGGUGGGAGGCUUUGAAGUGUGGACGCCAGUCUGCAUGGAGCCGACCUUGAAAUACCACCCUUUAAUGUUUGAUGUUCUAACGUUGACCCGUAAUCCGGGUUGCGGACAGUGUCUGGUGGGUAGUUUGACUGGGGCGGUCUCCUCCUAAAGAGUAACGGAGGAGCACGAAGGUUGGCUAAUCCUGGUCGGACAUCAGGAGGUUAGUGCAAUGGCAUAAGCCAGCUUGACUGCGAGCGUGACGGCGCGAGCAGGUGCGAAAGCAGGUCAUAGUGAUCCGGUGGUUCUGAAUGGAAGGGCCAUCGCUCAACGGAUAAAAGGUACUCCGGGGAUAACAGGCUGAUACCGCCCAAGAGUUCAUAUCGACGGCGGUGUUUGGCACCUCGAUGUCGGCUCAUCACAUCCUGGGGCUGAAGUAGGUCCCAAGGGUAUGGCUGUUCGCCAUUUAAAGUGGUACGCGAGCUGGGUUUAGAACGUCGUGAGACAGUUCGGUCCCUAUCUGCCGUGGGCGCUGGAGAACUGAGGGGGGCUGCUCCUAGUACGAGAGGACCGGAGUGGACGCAUCACUGGUGUUCGGGUUGUCAUGCCAAUGGCACUGCCCGGUAGCUAAAUGCGGAAGAGAUAAGUGCUGAAAGCAUCUAAGCACGAAACUUGCCCCGAGAUGAGUUCUCCCUGACUCCUUGAGAGUCCUGAAGGAACGUUGAAGACGACGACGUUGAUAGGCCGGGUGUGUAAGCGCAGCGAUGCGUUGAGCUAACCGGUACUAAUGAACCGUGAGGCUUAACCU
Molecule: ribosomal RNA, 2901 nt
Filed under: Escherichia coli
Lineage: Bacteria; Pseudomonadati; Pseudomonadota; Gammaproteobacteria; Enterobacterales; Enterobacteriaceae
Description: bacterial LSU rRNA
Rfam family: Bacterial large subunit ribosomal RNA
Source: RNAcentral